Molecule: ribosomal RNA, 1061 nt
Filed under: Lichenothelia convexa
Lineage: Eukaryota; Fungi; Ascomycota; Dothideomycetes; Lichenotheliales; Lichenotheliaceae
Description: bacterial SSU rRNA
Rfam family: Bacterial small subunit ribosomal RNA
Source: RNAcentral
CUUAAAGUAAGGAGAAAGAUCCCUUAUAAAAGUUAUUAUAACUAUAAAGAAAAUUCGCUUUAAGAUGCUAAUAUAUAUCUCGGGUAAGUAGUAGUUAAAGUAAUGGUUUAACCAGCUUAAGCCCGUAGUCGAGACUGAGAGGUUUAUCGACCACAUUGGGUCUGAAAAUAGCCCAAUACGUAUAGUACAGCAGUGGGGAAUAUUGGUCAAUAGCCUAACGGCUGAACCAGCAAUUUGGGAGAAUGAGGUUGGUAACAUGACAAGUGGGGCCAGAGAAUAGUUACGCAAGGAUCUGUUUUCUGGCGGGGAAUCGGCUUAGUCGAAUAAAGUUCUAGAUAGAAUAAUGAUUAUGACAAUUUUCUAUCUAAAUGUCUUGACCAAGUCACGUGCCAGCAGUCGCGGUAAUACGUGGAAGACUAGUGUUAUUCAUCUUUAAUAGGUUUAAAGGGUACCUAGACGGUAUUUCUAGCCCCCAAAGGGUACGGAUUUACUAGAGUUUUAUGUGAGAGGCAAAUAUUAGUACUAUUGGUGUAGAGAUGAAAUUCUUUGAUACUACUAGGACUGGUGGCGGCGAAAGCAACCCUCUAAGUAUAAACUGACGUUGAGGGACGAAGGCUUGGGUAGCGAAUAGGAUUAGAUACCCUAGUAGUCCAGGCAGAAAAUUAUGAGUGCCAUAGACUAGAUUAAAUAAUUUUGGUCUAUAAAUGAAAGUGUAAGCAUUCCACCUCAAGAGUAAUGUGGCAACGCAGGAACUGAAAUCAUUAGACCGUUUCUGAAACCAGUAGUGAAGUAUGUUAUUUAAUUCGAUAACCCUCGAAAAACCUUACCACAAUUUGAAUGUAAUAUAUGUAGUAGUCUAAUAAUUGUCUAGUUAACAACUACAUGUAUUAACACAAGCGUUGCACGGCUGUCUUCAGUUAAUGUCGUGAGAACUUGGUUAGAUCCAUUAAAUUAACGUAAUCCCUUUCGUUAGUUCUCUGAACUAAUGAAGUUCACCGCUAUAUUGGAUAUGAUAACAGGGAAUAAGACAAGUCAUCAUGACCUUAAUAUUGUGGGCUAUA